Molecule: signal recognition particle RNA, 300 nt
Filed under: Saimiri boliviensis boliviensis (Bolivian squirrel monkey)
Lineage: Eukaryota; Metazoa; Chordata; Mammalia; Primates; Cebidae
Description: Metazoan signal recognition particle RNA (ENSSBOG00000015945.1)
Rfam family: Metazoan signal recognition particle RNA
About the family: The signal recognition particle (SRP) is a universally conserved ribonucleoprotein. It is involved in the co-translational targeting of proteins to membranes.
Source: RNAcentral
GCCGGGCACAGUAUUGCGUGCCUGUAGUCCCAGCUACUCAGGAGGCUGAGGUGGGAGGAUCACUUGAGCCCAGGAGUUCUGGGCUGUAGUAUGCUGUGUCAAUCAGGUGUCCGCACUAAGUCUGGCACCAAUAUGGUGACCUCCCAGGAGUGGGGGAACCACCAGGUUACCUAAGGUGGGGUGAACCUGCCCAGGUCAGAAACAGAGCAGGUCAAAACUCUCAUGCUGAUCAGUAGUGGGGCUGCAUCUGUGAAUAGCCACUGUACUCCAUCCUGGGCAACAUAGCAAAACCCCAUCUCU